Molecule: long non-coding RNA, 498 nt
Filed under: Phaseolus vulgaris (common bean)
Lineage: Eukaryota; Viridiplantae; Streptophyta; Magnoliopsida; Fabales; Fabaceae
Description: long non-coding RNA (PVUL_LNC000757)
Source: RNAcentral
UUGGGCUGGCCGAACCUCCCUAUAAUCAUACCUUUCAUGCACCUUCAAGAUCAACACCACUCUUAGGAGGAUCUUGCUCACACACCUUCAUAGCUUUCGCACCACUUUUCUUACAUGAUUCAAGAAGACCUUCAUGAAAUGCCAUCAUUUGGUAUCAUGAGCUUGGGUUCUUCAAGAUGAGUUGCUUUUGGUCUUUUCAUUUCUAGUUCUUCUUUUAUUUCAUGUUGUUUAUCUUUUCCAUAAUUGUCUUGCUGUUUUUUGCAUUUUAAUUUGCUUUGGUGUGCUUUGUGGAAGAUCCAACCGAAGCACUUUUGUUCAAUUGAUCUUGAACAAGUUCUUGUGCAAAUUGUGAUAGGAUUUCAUACACCUUUGAGUUGCUAUUUUCUUUUAGGCUUUUGAGUCUUUAUUGCUUUCUUAUUUGGUUCAUAUUAUGCUUUUGAGUAUUUAAUUUCUGAAUCUUAUAUGUUUUGUCAAGUCAUGUUCAUCCACAAUGUCAAC